RNAcentral lists this ribosomal RNA (796 nucleotides) under uncultured Alphaproteobacteria bacterium. RNAcentral describes it as "bacterial SSU rRNA". It matches the Rfam family "Bacterial small subunit ribosomal RNA", at positions 44 to 888 of the family's 1533-position model. Lineage: Bacteria; Pseudomonadati; Pseudomonadota; Alphaproteobacteria. The record is from RNAcentral.
AUGCCUCAUACAUGCAAGUCGAACGAGGUCUUCGGACCUAGUGGCGCACGGGUGAGUAACAUGUGGGAAUCUACCUGAAGGUUCGGAAUAACUGCGGGAAACUGUAGCUAAUACCGGAUGUGUCUGCAAAGAGAAAGAUUUAUCGCCUUCAGAUGAGCCCGCACUAGAUUAGCUAGUUGGUGAGGUAAUUGCUCCACCAAGGCUACGAUCUAUAGCUGAUUUGAGAGGAUGAUCAGCCACACUGGGACUGAGACACGGCCCAGACUCCUACGGGAGGCAGCAGUAGGGAAUAUUGGACAAUGGGGGAAACCCUGAUCCAGCAAUGCCGCGUGAGUGAAGAAGGCCCUCGGGUUGUAAAACUCUUUCAUCAAUGAUGAUAAUGACAUUAGUUGAAGAAGAAGCUCCGGCUAACUUCGUGCCAGCAGCCGCGGUAAUACGAAGGGGGCUAGCGUUGUUCGGAAUCACUGGGCGUAAAGCGUAUGUAGGCGGAUCAAAAAGUUAGAUGUGAAAUCCCUGGGCUCAACCCAGGAACUGCAUUUAAAACUAGUGAUCUAGAAUUUGGUAAAGGUUAGUAGAAUUUCCAGUGUAGAGGUGAAAUUCGUAGAUAUUGGAAAGAAUACCAGAAGCGAAGGCGACUAACUAGGCCAUUUUUGACGCUGAGAUACGAAAGCGUGGGUAGCAAACAGGAUUAGAUACCCUGGUAGUCCACGCAGUAAACGAUGAGUGCUAGUCGCUGGGACAUUAGUUUCAGUGUCGAAGCUAACGCAUUAAGCACUCCGCCUGGGAAGUACGGUCG